This 79-nucleotide small RNA is filed under the name Atopobium sp. BS2. Its description in RNAcentral is "suhB". The record is from RNAcentral. Lineage: Bacteria; Bacillati; Actinomycetota; Coriobacteriia; Coriobacteriales; Atopobiaceae.
AGUAGUUUUUGACUUACAAGCAUUACUACCUAUGCAUUUACGCGCGGUGAGUUUCUCGCCGCGCUUUUUUAUGCGCAAA